This 514-nucleotide ribosomal RNA is filed under the name uncultured bacterium. RNAcentral describes it as "bacterial SSU rRNA". It matches the Rfam family "Bacterial small subunit ribosomal RNA", at positions 33 to 518 of the family's 1533-position model. The record is from RNAcentral.
ACGCUGGCGGCGUGCCUAAUACAUGCAAGUCGAACGGUCUUUUCUAUGGAAGCUUGCUUCCACUGAGAAGAUAGUGGCGAACGGGUGAGUAACACGUGGGUAACCUGCCCAUAAGAGGGGGGAUAACAUCCGGAAACGGGUGCUAAUACCGCAUAGUUUUCUUGAUCGCAUGAUCGGGAAAGGAAAGACGGCCUUUGUGCUGUCGCUUAUGGAUGGACCCGCGGCGUAUUAGUUAGUUGGUGAGGUAACGGCCCACCAAGACGAUGAUACGUAGCCGACCUGAGAGGGUGAUCGGCCACAUUGGGACUGAGACACGGCCCAAACUCCUACGGGAGGCAGCAGUAGGGAAUCUUCCGCAAUGGACGAAAGUCUGACGGAGCAACGCCGCGUGAGUGAAGAAAGGUUUUCGGAUCGUAAAACUCUGUUGUCAGAGAAGAACAAGUUGGAGAGUAACUGCUCCAGCCUUGACGGUAUCUGACCAGAAAGCCACGGCUAACUACGUGCCAGCCGCAGC